GACGAACGCUGGCGGCGUGGAUUAGGCAUGCAAGUCGAACGGUAGGAUACCUUCGGGUAUCUGAGAGUGGCGAACGGGUGAGUAACACGUAGGUGAUCUACCCUCAAGAUUGGGACAACCCAGGGAAACUUGGGCUAAUACCGGAUGAAAGCAGCAGUGAUGUUGUUUGAAAGGUGGCGUAAGCUGCCGUUUGGGGAUGAGCCUGCGCUCUAUUAGUUAGUUGGCGGGGUAAAGGCCCACAAGGCGAUGAUAGAUAGGCGGCCUUAACGGGUGGUCGCCCACACUGGGAUUGAGAUACGGCCCAGACUCCUACGGGAGGCAGCAGUCGAGAAUAGUCUACAAUGGUCGGAAGACUGAUAGUGCGACGCCGCGUGAACGAUGAAAUCCCUUCGGGGUGUAAAGUUCUUUUAUAUGUGAGCAGUGCUUCUUAUAUUAACAGUAUGGGGAAGAGAUAUAGCAUAUGAAUAAGCAACGGCUAACUCCGUGCCAGCAGCCCG
RNAcentral lists this ribosomal RNA (497 nucleotides) under uncultured bacterium. RNAcentral's name for it is "bacterial SSU rRNA". It matches the Rfam family "Bacterial small subunit ribosomal RNA", at positions 28 to 517 of the family's 1533-position model. The record is from RNAcentral.